Non-coding RNA from Plicaturopsis crispa FD-325 SS-3, 105 nucleotides. The record is from the annotation of a GenBank genome assembly. Lineage: Eukaryota; Fungi; Basidiomycota; Agaricomycetes; Amylocorticiales; Amylocorticiaceae.
GGGCGGAUGGUGUAGUUGGUUAUCACGCUCGCUUAGCAUAUUACGUAAUUCCUGAUUACGUAAUCAGUUUGCGAGAGGUGCUGGGUUCAAUUCCCAGUUCGUCCA